GUUAUCGUUUAUUUGAUAGUACCUUACUACUUGGAUAACCGUGGUAAUUCAAGAGCUAAUACAUGCUAAAAACCCCGACUUCGGAAGGGGUGUAUUUAUUAGAUAAAAAACCAAUGCCCUUCGGGGCUCCUUGGUGAUUCAUAAUAACUUAACGAAUCGCAUGGCCUUGUGCCGGCGAUGGUUCAUUCAAAUUUCUGCCCUAUCAACUUUCAAUCGUAUGGUCUUGGCUUACGAUGGUUUCAACGGGUAACGGGGAAUUAGGGUUCUAUUCCGGAGAGGGAGCCUGAGAAACGGCUACCACAUCCAAGGAAGGCAGCAGGCGCGCAAAUUACCCAAUCCCGACACGGGGAGGUAGUGACAAUAAAUACUGAUACAGGGCUCUUUUGGGUCUUGUAAUUGGAAUGAGUACAAUUUAAAUCCCUUAACGAGGAACAAUUGGAGGGCAAGUCUGGUGCCAGCAGCCGCGGUAAUUCCAGCUCCAAUAGCGUAUAUUAAAGUUGUUGCAGUUAAAAAGCUCGUAGUUGAACCUUGG
RNAcentral lists this ribosomal RNA (532 nucleotides) under uncultured fungus. RNAcentral's name for it is "SSU rRNA". It matches the Rfam family "Eukaryotic small subunit ribosomal RNA", at positions 109 to 644 of the family's 1831-position model. The record is from RNAcentral. Lineage: Eukaryota; Fungi.